RNAcentral lists this ribosomal RNA (45 nucleotides) under Synechococcus sp. WH 8012. RNAcentral's name for it is "partial 16S ribosomal RNA". The record is from RNAcentral. Lineage: Bacteria; Bacillati; Cyanobacteriota; Cyanophyceae; Synechococcales; Synechococcaceae.
UAACAAGGUAGCCGUACCGGAAGGUGCGGAUGGAUCACCUCCUAA